RNAcentral lists this ribosomal RNA (645 nucleotides) under uncultured Gammaproteobacteria bacterium. RNAcentral describes it as "bacterial SSU rRNA". It matches the Rfam family "Bacterial small subunit ribosomal RNA", at positions 69 to 708 of the family's 1533-position model. The record is from RNAcentral. Lineage: Bacteria; Pseudomonadati; Pseudomonadota; Gammaproteobacteria.
GCACAGGGAGCUUGCUCUCGGGUGACGAGCGGCGGACGGGUGAGUAAUGUCUGGGAAACUGCCUGAUGGAGGGGGAUAUCUACUGGAAACGGUAGCUAAUACCGCAUAACGCCGCAAGACCAAAGAGGGGGACCUUCGGGCCUCUUGCCAUCAGAUGUGCCCAGAUGGGACUAGCUAGUAGGUGGGGUAACGGCUCACCUAGGCGACGAUCCCUAGCUGGUCUGAGAGGAUGACCAGCCACACUGGAACUGAGACACGGUCCAGACUCCUACGGGAGGCAGCAGUGGGGAAUAUUGCACAAUGGGCGCAAGCCUGAUGCAGCCAUGCCGCGUGUAUGAAGAAGGCCUUCGGGUUGUAAAGUACUUUCAGCGGGGAGGAAGGCGAUAAGGUUAAUAACCUUGUCGAUUGACGUUACCCGCAGAAGAAGCACCGGCUAACUCCGUGCCAGCAGCCGCGGUAAUACGGAGGGUGCAAGCGUUAAUCGGAAUUACUGGGCGUAAAGCGCACGCAGGCGGUCUGUCAAGUCGGAUGUGAAAUCCCCGGGCUCAACCUGGGAACUGCAUUCGAAACUGGCAGGCUAGAGUCUUGUAGAGGGGGGUAGAAUUCCAGGUGUAGCGGUGAAACGCGUAGAGAUCUGGAGGAAUA